CUUAUACAAAGCCCGCGAUUCCUUCUCCUCUCUUGGCAGAUGUAAACAGAGCAGCCUCUCAGGAGCGAGUGAAAAAAGAAGAAGGAUUGCCAUUUUUGCAGCAAGAUUUUGGAAAACCAUGAUGUAACCAUGAAAAACUAGUACAGAUUUAUGGGAAGCUUCACUUUGUGAUAAUGAGUUCCAGUAAAAGUGUGGUGAUGGCUAGGCAGGGAUUCAUGGGAAAGGAGCUGAGAUAACUUCUUGAAUAGCAAGCCACAGCCACAGCCAUCAGCAUGUUGUCCAACUCUCGUAAGAAGUCGGACACCAUGUCCAGCUGUGACAGCCUGGCGGGGAAGUACAUAAAAAAGGAAUCUCCUCCUGAGGUGUCCAUCAUUAAUGUCUGGCCAAAUGCAAGUCAGAGUGAUUUGAGAAAGAGGAAGAGUACAGUCAAUCCACCCUAUGUUAGUAGCAGCAAUCCUCCAUCUCACCAAGCCUCACCCUUAGUCCAAAAGUAUUCCACGGGAUCUAGGACGCCAGUGAACGGAAUGGCCCAUGGAGGACUGGAAGGCAAAUACACGCCUAACGUUGGGGAAGUGACACAGCGGAUGGGUGGCCUCCACCUGGGUAGCAGAGGGAGCCUUGAUGGCAUGUUGAAGCAGCAAGCACCCCCUUCGCCAGCUAUGUUUAACCACACAUUCAUUAACCAUUAUACAGGAUCUCAGUACAGUCUUGAUCAAAUACUCUAUGGACCGAGUCACAUCAGGUCGCCACUGGAAGCAACAAACCCGGGUAUUUCUUACCCUUUCCUCCAUCAAUCUGGUCAAAAGCAGCAGCAAGCCCAGCAACAGCAGCAGCAGCAGCAGCAAAGACAACAACUGUCUCAGUCAAAUACUCAUCUUGGGGGAGGAUCGCCUCAGCCUCCUUCCCCUCGCCUUGAACAAGAGCUUCCUUUACCUCCAGGAUGGUCUGUAGACUACACUCUAAGGGGAAGAAAGUAUUACAUAGAUCACAACACAAAGACAACUCACUGGUCACAUCCCUUGGAGAAGGAAGGUCUGCCUGCUGGAUGGGAGCGUAUUGAGUCUCUAGAACAUGGUGUUUAUUAUGUUAAUCACAUUACUCGGCAAGCCCAGUAUGAGCACCCAUGUGCGCAACAGUAUCUUCCAAGAAUUCCAGAGAAUUCAGCUCUUGCCCAGAAUAGAAUGCUACCUAUUCCACACCAUACAGAUUUCCGUCAGCCAUUGUCACUCAUGCCAGCAUCACCAUACCUCCAUGAGAAAAUUCCUUAUUGGCUACACGUGUAUUCUCAAGCUUCACCAGAACAUGACCACAAGUUAAGAUGGGAACUCUUCAGACUACCAGAGCUGGACUGCUACCAGGCAAUGCUCAACAGACUCUUCAAACACGAGCUACAUGGCAUUGUGAUGAGUUACGAAAUGUACCGUAUUGCUCUGACCAAAGAGAUUGAAAGAAGAAUGCAGCAGAUGAACACACCAAUGGCAGGAGGGGCAGAGACCACAAGUGGGGUGACCAUAACAGAAAUAAAGGAUGAGGAUUCUCACAGUACUGAAAACGUCUCUUCUAAUGAACAUUUCAAGCAGCAGAUACUAAAUGCAGAUAACUUAUUUGAGUCUAAAGUGUAAUACUGUUUUUCUAUUGUACUAAAUGCACUAUCAAUCAGACAUAGAACGACUAACUCUUGGAACUUUUUUCUGAACUUCAAGCUUUUUGUGGCAGCUUUCAGUGGGCAAAACUAGUUUACUUUAGAACAUGAUUUUAGUCUUGUGCCUGUGAUUAUAGAUCUACUAUUGAAUAUUUGGCUGUGCAUAGUGAAAGUAUUAGUUGUCAGUGAGUGGUGUUGCACCCAUUUUUUUUUUGUUUCCCCUUCUUUUUUUCUUUUUUUUAUGUUACCAAAGAUAUGACCUAAGUUGGGCAUUGCUUUGAUUGCUUGUCGUGGUAGUGUUAACGUGGCUCUCCCCGUCCUGCACCACUGAAGUCCUGGGAGGAGAGUGUAUCGUCUCUAAGGCACUACACUAACCAGUUUCAAGAUACGUUAGUUGCCACCUUCAUUUCCCUAUUCCUUCGUCUUUUCAAGAAAAAGAAAGAAAAAAAAAAAAGAGAGAGAGAGAGAGGAGAUUUGUACUUCGCAUCUUUUUUAAGUAUUCUAGUCUUUCAUUAAUUGAAAUUAUU
Molecule: unclassified non-coding RNA, 2169 nt
Filed under: Penaeus chinensis
Lineage: Eukaryota; Metazoa; Arthropoda; Malacostraca; Decapoda; Penaeidae
Description: protein salvador homolog 1-like, transcript variant X4
Source: RNAcentral